AUGUCUGCAUUAACCGGUCCACUCUGUCUCCAGUUCAGUGCCACCUCCAGCACUUCCUGUAGCAGCAGCCAGCGCCUCCUCUUCAGUGGGUGUCGCUCUCCUGGGCCCAUCCCCACUCUCUGGGCUACAAAGGCUCCCACGGUGCAGACCCUAGGUGGAUUUAAGCCCCCACACCCAGGAUUUGGUGGAUACAACAAGGAGAACAAAGGCCAGCCUAAUGGGACUCCCCCCUUCACGCAGCGUAACGCCAGCAUGGCUUCUAUUGCCAGCACAUAUUCUGAGUUUGUGGUAAAGAAGCCCUUUUUCUCACUUAACUCUGCCUUCAAAGCAUUUGAGCUCAAAGCUGACCUUUGUGUUCUAGAAGGACUUGAAGAGCACCGAGCCACUAAAGUCCAGGUGUGUUCUGAGAGCUGCUAGCAUCUAACUAACCUAAGUACUAGCUCAGAAUAUCUUUGAUUAAACCAAACUAACUUUACUUAUUAAAUCAAGACAAAACCUACUGAAGACAACAUCAGGCCUCAUCUUUGAGAGACAAUGCAUUGAUGUUUGUUCAUGUGUUUAAACAUGUUUUUGUGACGACCACUUUCUCAUACACAACUUAUUGUAUGUAUGAGUACCCUAGAACAGUGUUUUUGUACCGUUGUACCGUGGGAAAUGACCCAUUCACAGGCCCUGAU
This 677-nucleotide long non-coding RNA is filed under the name Oryzias sinensis (Chinese medaka). RNAcentral's name for it is "lncRNA (ENSOSIG00000002502.1)". The record is from RNAcentral. Lineage: Eukaryota; Metazoa; Chordata; Actinopteri; Beloniformes; Adrianichthyidae.